UCAUGACCUGAGCUGGAGUCGGGCGCUUAACCGACUGAGCCACCCAGGCGCCCCAGCAGAGGUCAUCCUAAAAGGGAGAGAAAGGAACAACGCCAAGGACGGGGAGAAAUGCAGUGACGCGGACGGAGGGCAGGCACUGAAGGUCAUGAAGGAGGGCCGUUGGCUGAAUUUCCUACCAUGCCCAGUGGGUGCAGUGAGAGGUUUCCACAUCUGCACUGAGAGGGUUUGGGCAGCAAACAGUUCCUGAGCCCAGUGUGUGUCAUUCACGCACCUGGAGAAGAAAAGGAAUAUUCUGAGCCUCUGCCACAAGGCGUUCACAUUCGAAACCACUUGACCUUACCCUGGCAGCCUCUGGCUUG
This is a long non-coding RNA of Herpailurus yagouaroundi (jaguarundi), 359 nucleotides long. RefSeq lists it as uncharacterized. The transcript has 3 exons. Lineage: Eukaryota; Metazoa; Chordata; Mammalia; Carnivora; Felidae. The record is from RefSeq and is a predicted model, not a curated record.